AGAACAGAGGGAGGGGGAUAUUAAAUUAGAACAGCCAUGGUCAGAACGGAGGGAGGGGCUGAAUAUUAAAUUAGAAGAGCCAUGGUCAGAACGGAGGGAGGAGGGGGAUAUUAAAUUAGAACAGCCAUGGUCAGAACAGAGGGAGGGACUGAAUAUUAAAUUAGAAGAGCCAUGGUCAGAACGGAGGGAGGUGAAUAUUAAAUUAGAACAGCCAUGGUCAGAACGGAGGGAGGGGCUGAAUAUUAAAUUAGAACAGCCAUGGUCAGAACGGAGGGAGGGACUGAAUAUUAAAUUAGAAGAGCCAUGGUCAGAACGGAGGGAGGUGAAUAUUAAAUUAGAACAGCCAUGGUCAGAACGGAGGGAGGGGCUGAAUAUUAAAUUAGAACAGCCAUGGUCAGAACGGAGGGAGGGACCAUACUACUCUUCCUGUUCUGUUGUUUUUACUUUCGCCUGUGAGCAUCGACAGACCAGAGUGGUUUCUGGGCCCCGCUGCAAGAGAGUGUGUGUGUGUUGUAUAUACUCUGCUGUGUGGGUGUGUGUGUGUGUGUGUUGUAUAUCUACUCGUGUGUUGACAGUAUGAAACGUGGUGGUCUGUGGGAAUGUGGCGGUCUGUGGGAAUGUGGCGGUCUGUGGGAAUGUGGCGUGUUUGCAGUGAUGCAUCUAUGGACAUCCUCUCAGAAUAAAUAAAUGUUCUAUACAAACUGUUCCCCUCGACUCUUUUACUACUGUCUGUCUGUCUGUCUGCCUGUCUGCCUGUCUGUGUACAGUUGAAGUCUGUAAACAUCCACUUAGGUUGGAGUCAUUAAAACUUGUUUUUCAGCCAUUCCACAAAUUUCUUGUUAACAAACUAUAGUUUUGGCAAGUCGGUUAGGACAUCUACUUUGUGCAUGACACAAGUCAUUUUUCCAACAAUUGUUUACAG
Molecule: long non-coding RNA, 922 nt
Filed under: Salmo salar (Atlantic salmon)
Lineage: Eukaryota; Metazoa; Chordata; Actinopteri; Salmoniformes; Salmonidae
Description: lncRNA (ENSSSAG00000108307.1)
Source: RNAcentral